Molecule: long non-coding RNA, 3654 nt
Organism: Pipra filicauda (Wire-tailed manakin)
Lineage: Eukaryota; Metazoa; Chordata; Aves; Passeriformes; Pipridae
Exons: 2
Source: RefSeq, a predicted model, not a curated record
UGAUUUCAUAGGUGGAUUUGACUCUUACGGCUAUCAAGGUCCACAGAAGACAUCUCAUUUACAACUACAGCCCAUGUAUAUGUCAAAGUAAACAUGGGGAGUACCCAAGGUGGGCUGGAAGGCCACUGUCAAAGAAACUGUUUCAGAAUGGCCUCCUGAUUCUUCAAAGAGAAAAAAAUCCAAUUUUUCUGCUAAAAGAAGAAUAUAAAAGCUGGUUGAACAGUGAGACAGAAAACAAGAGACUUUCAGCCCCUCUUUCUAACAGGUACUAAAGGAGAUGCCCCAGACCCCCACCUUGGACCUCCUGCCUCCCAGCACCAGAGGACAGAGCAGAGGCAUUGGUGCCAUCUUUUAUCUCUUCCCUACCCCGGCCACCGCCAGUGUGACCCAUCUGGAUUAAGACAUGAACUCGGUGCUUUUGGAGCCUCCUUCAUACUUCUGGCCUCAUCAAGUCUCCUUAGUCAACACGACACUGAAAUACCAGGAUGACCUUGCAGCAGAAGUCAAAAGACAGCGCAUUGUUUGCCCUGAAGGCUGUACAGUUCAUACUUGCCUUAACCCAACUGCAUUGCACAUUAGAGAAACUACGUGCAAGCUUUCUGAAGUUAACAUGCUGCUGUUAAUUCUGAACAAUUUCUAAGUCAGUGGUUUUCUUCUGUUUCGUUUUGCUUUGUUUUCGUGUCAGGGAAUAAGGCUCUGUUGCUCCACGGCUCCAGAGUGACCAAGUAGAAAACUGCCAGCUGCCUGAUAAGUGCUUUACUUUUGAGACUCCACAGUGGUCAAGAAACAGUUUAUAAUGAUUAAAAAGAAAAAGAAAGAAAGAAAUAAGACCUUUGGGGGGUCAGGGUGAGGAAAGGGGUAACAUAAACUAAUAAUUGAACCUACUGGAAAUACGCAGCAGAAAUAGUUCUUUAAUCCCACUGGUUUUAUUUAUCGCACUGUAGGUGCUUUUAUAGCUAUCUCUAAACGUCUUUUACUAACUACAGAGACAUCUGCAGAUUUCUAUCAACAAAGGCCAACUGAAUAUGUACUAGCUACAUUUAGUCUUUUAUAUGUAAUUUCAACUAAAAAUUCUCUCUAAGUGAGCUUUUUUUUUUCUAAUUGCACCAUAAGGGAUCCACAUAUUUUAUUUUUUGAUUUCAGUUGGAGAGGGCGGGGAGGCACUAGUUGAGUUGAAGAAAUAUUGAAGACCUUUUUGGGGUAUGUUUGGGGGAUCUGUUCUGUGUUAGAAUGUGUAUUUUAUCUUCCUGUAUUAUUGUGGCUGAAAAAAAAAAAAACUGUGCUGUUACGUAGUUGGCAACAAGAUGCCUUUGGGAAUUUUGCUAGUAGGUCAAUGUGUAUAUGAAAUACUCUGAACUCCUAGGAACAUAUGUUUUAUUCUACAUCUGAUCUGUAUUUUCAAGAACAUAGGUGGCUUUCACUAGGAAAACCCAAUACUUUGCUCAGGUUUUUCAGAAACUUGGAUUGUCAUUGUUUCUUUGCUCAGACCUUGCAUAGACAAACGCACGCACCUACCACACAUGAAGUGACCACGUAGGUUUUGAGGGCAAGAGGAAAGGUCAACACUUGGAAAAGCUUGAGGUACACCUGAGCAACUCCCUUUUCCUUGCUGGCCAAGGCCUUGCUCCAAAGGCCUGUGCGCUCACACCACUCACUCAUCCCUGUACAAACCAGUGCCCUUUGCUGUGUCUGCAUGGAUGUACAGUGUCACAAGCAGCAACUCUGGACAAUGACAGAGGGACAGUGAAAGCAAGAUAUGGGACAUGUUCAGGAGCUAUGCUUACAUUGAUUCAGUGAGAUUUAUAUAGAUAGAUAGAUAGAUAUAUGUAAGUGUGUGAAUGUGUGUGUAUGUCUAUGUAUAUAAAAUACACAGGAAUAAUUAUUGUUGGGGGCUGCAUCACCCAGGAAGAUUCUGAUGCAGUGGACCAAGGGCUCCUGUCUCAGAUACUGCUGGGAAUUUCCUGCAUGAAACAGGCACGUACCCUAGGCCUGAUCCCAUAAAGCAUUCACUGCUGAUUUGGAUCUCAAAUUUAAAUUUUUGUACUUGGGGACCUGAAAUUCUGAGUUCAUUCUGGAUAGAGCUGCUUUUCACCCCCUGGAAACCCCAUGCAACUUCCAAGUGCCAGGAUGAAAUUUCCCAUAACUUGAAAAAUUUCAAAAGUUUCUACUUUUAUGUAGUAUUAAAUAUAGCAGAUGUAUAGAAUUAAACAUAACACAGAGGUUUAAAUGGAAUGAAAAUGUCAUAACAGCUUCUUUUAUCUUUCCCUGUAUACCAGUUAAUCAAGAUGAUAUUUCUAUAAAAAUCACUUUUUAACAUGAAAAGAAACCAGUUUAGGCACCUAAGCAGCAAUCCAAUUUUCAGAUGAUAAUUUUUCAUACCUCUCAGUGAUUUCCCAUGGAACAGCAGCUACUGCUAGUUAGCAAUUUUAGAAGUCAGACAAUUUAAUGAAGUGUCUACAUGUAGUUUAUAGGCCUGAUUUUAAUUUAGAAAGUUUUGGCCUUAGUUUCUCUGUGUCUUAGUCUUCCCAUCUAUAAUACGGGAAUAAUAUGUGCCUCACAGGCUUUUUGUGAGGUCUGAAUUGUUAAUGUUUGUAAAAUGCUUAGGAAAUAGGAAGCACAUCUAAACUACUACAGACUGCAAUAUAAAUGUGUAUUCAUAUAUUACAUAUAGAGUAGAUACACACACUCGCUUACACACAGUAUACAUAUAUAUAUACGCAUACUUACCUAUACGAAGUUGGUAUUCGUAACCCUGCUUAAAUUGCAGUUGGAGCACCACCAUUUAAAAAAUUAGGACUGUUGACUACUCAACUAAAUGAUUAGUGGACAGAUCUCUUCUGGAAGCAGUUUAGAGCACAGUAAUGUGAGAAUAUCUGGAUGGCACUUUUGAUUUGUACAGCUGUAUCCUCCUCAAAAACCAGUAAAGAAUGUUAUUUUUCUAGGCUGGGCUUUUGUUAUAAACUAAAAUAUUCAGAAGGCAAGAGAUACAAUCCAAAUGUGGUUUUUUUUCUUUUCUUUUCUUUUUGGCAUUUGUUAAUUCCGAAUGUAUUUUUAACAAAAGUGAUUUUUUUGACUUACUAGUGUAAUUUGCAUUUUAAAAAAAAUAAAUGGAAAAAAUAUAGGUUUCCAAGCUAUUCAUGGCCCCCUGCUGCUAUUCACAACUUACGGGAAACUUAGAAUUACUGUUACCAGCUGAGCAACAAUGCAGGAUAAAUAAUCCUAUUACAUUUACAUGAUGACAGUCCUGAUCUGUGCAGUGCAUGGAUGUGACAGCACUGAAUAGAAAUUGCCAGGUCAUGACACCAUUUUAACACUGUCAUAUGUAGCAGGUAUUUUCAUUAUCACUGACACUAAAAGGUUUCCUUUACAAGGUUGACUGCAACAGACUCUUCACUUAGGAAGCAGGGCUGGUUUUGUGCACUCAUCAGGAAUUUUAAGCCUAUGAUAGGUAUACAGUGGCCAACAGUGUUAAGUAUUACAAAAGUAAUCCUUUUUAAGAAGGAGCUAUGUAACAUGGAUAUUUCCACUGCAUUAAUAUUCUUUUAUAUGCCAUUUAUUGUCCCUACACUGAAAUGAAGAAAUAUUGUGAAAUGUUUAUAGAGUUCACACAUAUAUGCCUGAGGUCAUUUAAUAAAGGUGGAGCAGAACAGUAUA